GGCCACCUUCGGUGCAUGGCCGCCUAGGUGUCAGGUCGGAAAUGGGCCACCUUCGGUGCGUGGCCGCCUAGGUGUCACGUCGACGCUCCAACCUAGCUGGUAUCACGAAAAGCCGAGCGUUGGAGAUCUCCCUACUCAUCUCUGGUAUUAUGCCACCAUCCACUAAACGUU
This is a long non-coding RNA of Neodiprion fabricii, 171 nucleotides long. RefSeq lists it as uncharacterized. The transcript has 3 exons. Lineage: Eukaryota; Metazoa; Arthropoda; Insecta; Hymenoptera; Diprionidae. The record is from RefSeq and is a predicted model, not a curated record.